CAUAUCAAUAAGCGGAGGAAAAGAAACUAACAAGGAUUCCCCUAGUAACGGCGAGUGAAGCGGGAAAAGCUCAAAUUUGAAAUCUGGCAGCCUCAGGUUGCCCGAGUUGUAAUCUAUAGAAACGUUUUCCGCGUUGGCCCAUGUACAAGUCUCCUGGAAUGGAGCGUCAUAGAGGGUGAGAAUCCCGUCCUUGACAUGGACUACCAGUGCUUUGUGAUACGUUUUCAAAGAGUCGAGUUGUUUGGGAAUGCAGCUCAAAAUGGGUGGUAAAUUCCAUCUAAAGCUAAAUAUUGGCGAGAGACCGAUAGCGAACAAGUACCGUGAGGGAAAGAUGAAAAGCACUUUGGAAAGAGAGUUAAACAGUAUGUGAAAUUGUUGAAAGGGAAACGAUUGAAGUCAGUCAUGUCUAUUGGACUCAGCCGGUUCUGCCGGUGUACUUCCUUUAGAUGGGGUCAACAUCAGUUUUGAUCGCUGGAAAAGGGCAGGAGGAAUGUAGCACUCUCGGGUGAACUUAUAGCCUUCUGUCGUAUACAGUGGUUGGGACUGAGGAACGCAGCAUGCCUUUAUGGCCGGGGUCGCCCACGUACAUGCUU
Molecule: ribosomal RNA, 593 nt
Filed under: Solicoccozyma terrea
Lineage: Eukaryota; Fungi; Basidiomycota; Tremellomycetes; Filobasidiales; Piskurozymaceae
Description: LSU rRNA
Rfam family: Eukaryotic large subunit ribosomal RNA
Source: RNAcentral